Molecule: ribosomal RNA, 445 nt
Filed under: uncultured bacterium
Lineage: Bacteria
Description: partial 16S ribosomal RNA
Rfam family: Bacterial small subunit ribosomal RNA
Source: RNAcentral
GUGAGGAAUAUUGGACAAUGGAUGGAAAUCUGAUCCAGCCAUGCCGCGUGCGGGAAGAAGGUCCUAUGGAUUGUAAACCGCUUUUGUACGGGAACAAUAAGAGCCACGUGUGGCUCGAUGAGUGUACCGUAGGAAUAAGCAUCGGCUAACUCCGUGCCAGCAGCCGCGGUAAUACGGAGGAUGCAAGCGUUAUCCGGAUUUAUUGGGUUUAAAGGGUGCGUAGGUGGGCUGUCAAGUCCGUGGUGAAAAGUUCGCGCUUAACGCGGAUCGUGCCAUGGAAACUGGUGGCCUUGAAUAGGGGUGCCGUUGGCGGAAUGUGAAGUGUAGCGGUGAAAUGCUUAGAUAUCACACAGAACACCGAUUGCGUAGGCAGCUUACUGGAGCGCAACUGACGCUGAGGCACGAAAGCGUGGGGAUCGAACAGGAUUAGAUACCCUAGUAGUCC